GACGAACGCUGGCGGCGUGCUUAACACAUGCAAGUCGAACGGAAAGGCCCGGCUUUUGUGGGGUGCUCGAGUGGCGAACGGGGGAGUAACACGUGAGAAACCUGCCCUUGACUUUGGGAUAACUUUAGGAAACUGGGGCUAAUACCGGAUAGGAGCUCCUGCUGCAUGGGGGGGGUUGGAAAGUUUCGGCGGUUGGGGAUGGACUCGCGGCUUAUCAGCUUGUUGGUGGGGUAGUGGCUUACCAAGGCUUUGACGGGUAGCCGGCCUGAGAGGGUGACCGGCCACAUUGGGACUGAGAUACGGCCCAGACUCCUACGGGAGGCAGCAGUGGGGAAUAUUGCACAAUGGGCGGAAGCCUGAUGCAGCAACGCCGCGUGCGGGAUGACGGCCUUCGGGUUGUAAACCGCUUUCGCCUGUGACGAAGCGUGAGUGACGGUAAUGGGUAAAGAAGCACCGGCUAACUACGUG
Molecule: ribosomal RNA, 468 nt
Filed under: uncultured bacterium
Lineage: Bacteria
Description: partial 16S ribosomal RNA
Rfam family: Bacterial small subunit ribosomal RNA
Source: RNAcentral